RNAcentral lists this unclassified non-coding RNA (379 nucleotides) under uncultured Paenibacillaceae bacterium. RNAcentral describes it as "contains 16S-23S intergenic spacer region". The record is from RNAcentral. Lineage: Bacteria; Bacillati; Bacillota; Bacilli; Caryophanales; Paenibacillaceae.
UCCGGUUUGUCACCGGCAGUCUGCUUAGAGUGCCCACCAUGAUGUGCUGGCAACUAAGCAUAAGGGUUGCGCUCGUUGCGGGACUUAACCCAACAUCUCACGACACGAGCUGACGACAACCAUGCACCACCUGUCUCCUUUGUCCCGAAGGAAAAGACUAUCUCUAGUCCGGUCAAAGGGAUGUCAAGACUUGGUAAGGUUCUUCGCGUUGCUUCGAAUUAAACCACAUACUCCACUGCUUGUGCGGGUCCCCGUCAAUUCCUUUGAGUUUCAGUCUUGCGACCGUACUCCCCAGGCGGAAUGCUUAAUGUGUUAACUUCGGCACCAAGGGUAUCGAAACCCCUAACACCUAGCAUUCAUCGUUUACGGCGUGGACUAC